RNAcentral lists this ribosomal RNA (465 nucleotides) under Vreelandella stevensii. Its description in RNAcentral is "partial 16S ribosomal RNA". It matches the Rfam family "Bacterial small subunit ribosomal RNA", at positions 338 to 795 of the family's 1533-position model. Lineage: Bacteria; Pseudomonadati; Pseudomonadota; Gammaproteobacteria; Oceanospirillales; Halomonadaceae. The record is from RNAcentral.
CCUACGGGAGGCAGCAGUGGGGAAUAUUGGACAAUGGGGGCAACCCUGAUCCAGCCAUGCCGCGUGUGUGAAGAAGGCCCUCGGGUUGUAAAGCACUUUCAGUGAGGAAGAACGCCUGGUGGUUAAUACCCAUCAGGAAAGACAUCACUCACAGAAGAAGCACCGGCUAACUCCGUGCCAGCAGCCGCGGUAAUACGGAGGGUGCGAGCGUUAAUCAGAAUUACUGGGCGUAAAGCGCGCGUAGGUGGCUGGAUAAGCCGGUUGUGAAAGCCCCGGGCUCAACCUGGGAACGGCAUCCGGAACUGUCAAGCUAGAGUGCAGGAGAGGAAGGUAGAAUUCCCGGUGUAGCGGUGAAAUGCGUAGAGAUCGGGAGGAAUACCAGUGGCGAAGGCGGCCUUCUGGACUGACACUGACACUGAGGUGCGAAAGCGUGGGUAGCAAACAGGAUUAGAUACCCUAGUAGUC